This 539-nucleotide ribosomal RNA is filed under the name uncultured bacterium. Its description in RNAcentral is "bacterial SSU rRNA". It matches the Rfam family "Bacterial small subunit ribosomal RNA", at positions 29 to 560 of the family's 1533-position model. The record is from RNAcentral.
UUGAACGCUGGCGGAAUGCUUUACACAUGCAAGUCGAGCGGCAGCGCGGGGGCAACCCUGGCGGCGAGCGGCGAACGGGUGAGUAACAUAUCGGAACGUACCCCAGUCGUGGGGGGAUAACUAUCCGAAAAGGAUAGCUAAUACCGCAUACGACCUGAGGGUGAAAGCGGGGGACCGUAAGGCCUCGCGCGAUUGGAGCGGCCGAUAUCGGAUUAGCUAGUUGGUGAGGUAAAGGCUCACCAAGGCGACGAUCCGUAGCUGGUCUGAGAGGACGACCAGCCACACUGGAACUGAGACACGGUCCAGACUCCUACGGGAGGCAGCAGUGGGGAAUUUUGGACAAUGGGGGCAACCCUGAUCCAGCCAUUCCGCGUGAGUGAAGAAGGCCUUCGGGUUGUAAAGCUCUUUCAGCAGGAACGAAACGGUGGUCCCUAAUACGGGCUACUAAUGACGGUACCUGAAGAAGAAGCACCGGCUAACUACGUGCCAGCAGCCGCGGUAAUACGUAGGGUGCGAGCGUUAAUCGGAAUUACUGGGCG